UACGUAGGACCCAAGCGUUAUCCGGAGUGACUGGGCGUAAAGAGUUGCGUAGGUGGCUUGUAAAGUGAAUAGUGAAAUCUGGGGGCUCAACCUCACAGGCUAUUAUUCAAACUCACAAGCUCGAGAACAGCAGAGGUAACUGGAAUUUCUGAAGUAGGGGUAAUAUCCGUAGAUAUCAGAAGGAACACCAAUGGCGUAGGCAGGUUACUGGGCUGUUUCUGACACUGAGGCACGAAAGCGUGGGGAGCGAACCGG
Molecule: ribosomal RNA, 255 nt
Filed under: uncultured bacterium
Lineage: Bacteria
Description: partial 16S ribosomal RNA
Rfam family: Bacterial small subunit ribosomal RNA
Source: RNAcentral